Caenorhabditis brenneri is the source of this 46-nucleotide non-coding RNA. The record is from Rfam. NCBI's taxonomy places the organism in Eukaryota, Metazoa, Nematoda, Chromadorea, Rhabditida, Rhabditidae.
CCAACGGCCCUCUUUAGGGCCACAAAUAAUCCUAUAAUCCAGUUUU